CGCUCUUUGUAAAGUGUCUAAUACAUAAGGAGUCCUGCCUGCCCGGUGACUAUUUUAGUUAAACGGCCGCGGUAUCUUGACCGUGCGAAGGUAGCAUAAUCAUUUGCCUUUUAAAUUGGGGCUGGAAUGAAUGGCAAGACGGGAAUCAAGCUGUCUCUCUCUUAUAGUUUGAAAUUAAUGUUUUUGUGAAGAGGCAGAAAUAUAAUCGUAGGACGAGAAGACCCUAUCGAGCUUUUAAUAUAGGAAAAUGUAAUAUAUUUAUUAUUGUUUUAUGCUAAUUAGAAAUUAAUAAUUUCUAAUAUAAUUACUAUAAUUACGAUAAUGUUGUGCAUAUUUUAUUUGGGUUGGGGCAAUCGCGGAGAAUAGUUACCCUCCGCUGUUUUUUUUAGAAAAAAUCUUUUUAUAUUUGAGAUUUUCAAUUGAAGUGAUCCACUAGAAGAAGGUGAUAAAAAGAAUAAGUUACCGUAGGGAUAACAGCGUAAUUUUUUUGGAGAGUUCAUAUUGAUAAAAAAGUUUGCGACCUCGAUGUUGGAUCGGGAUUUCCUGGGGAUGCAGUAGUUCCUAGUGGUUGGUCUGUUCGACCAUUAAAAUCCU
RNAcentral lists this ribosomal RNA (594 nucleotides) under Lophaster furcilliger. RNAcentral describes it as "partial 16S ribosomal RNA". It matches the Rfam family "Bacterial large subunit ribosomal RNA", at positions 1816 to 2597 of the family's 2925-position model. Lineage: Eukaryota; Metazoa; Echinodermata; Asteroidea; Velatida; Solasteridae. The record is from RNAcentral.